CAAAAUAAUCCCGGUGCUUCGGCGCUGACUUAUUUACACCCUUUGCCUAUGUGUACCCCUAUCGCUUCCUCGGCAGGCUUGCCUGCCGCCAGGAACCAACCAAACCCUUUGCAUUAUAUACAAAAACUUCUGACAACAAACUAAAUAAUCA
This 151-nucleotide unclassified non-coding RNA is filed under the name uncultured Ascomycota. Its description in RNAcentral is "sequence contains ITS1". RNAcentral also lists the same sequence under 2 other names. Lineage: Eukaryota; Fungi; Ascomycota. The record is from RNAcentral.